Molecule: ribosomal RNA, 520 nt
Filed under: uncultured bacterium
Lineage: Bacteria
Description: bacterial SSU rRNA
Rfam family: Bacterial small subunit ribosomal RNA
Source: RNAcentral
AGAGUUUGAUCCUGGCUCAGAUUGAACGCUGGCGGCAGGCCUAACACAUGCAAGUCGAGCGGAUGAGGGUAGCUUGCUACCUGAUUCAGCGGCGGACGGGUGAGUAAUGCCUAGGAAUCUGCCCGAUAGUGGGGGACAACGUUUCGAAAGGAACGCUAAUACCGCAUACGUCCUACGGGAGAAAGCAGGGGACCUUCGGGCCUUGCGCUAUCGGAUGAGCCUAGGUCGGAUUAGCUAGUUGGUGGGGUAAAGGCUCACCAAGGCGACGAUCCGUAACUGGUCUGAGAGGAUGAUCAGUCACACUGGAACUGAGACACGGUCCAGACUCCUACGGGAGGCAGCAGUGGGGAAUAUUGGACAAUGGGCGAAAGCCUGAUCCAGCCAUGCCGCGUGUGUGAAGAAGGUCUUCGGAUUGUAAAGCACUUUAAGCUGGGAGGAAGGGCAGUAAGUUAAUACCUUGCUGUUUUGACGUUACCAGCAGAAUAAGCACCGGCUAACUUCGUGCCAGCAGCCGCGGUAA